CAAUAGCGUAUAUUUAAGUUGCUGCAGUUAAAAAGCUCGUAGUUGGAUUUCGGGUGGGAAUGGCCGGUCCGCCGUUUCGGUGUGCACUUGCUACGCCCACCUUGCUGCCGGGGACGUGCUCUUGAGUUCACGCUCGGGACACGGAGUCGGCGAGGUUACUUUGAGUAAAUUAGAGUGUACAAAGCAGGCCUACGCUCUGAAUACAUUAGCAUGGAAUAACACGAUAGGACUCUGGCCUAUCUUGUUGGUCUGUAGGACCGGAGUAAUGAUUAAGAGGGACAGUCGGGGGCAUUCGUAUUUCAUUGUCAGAGGUGAAAUUCUUGGAUUUAUGAAAGACGAACUACUGCGAAAGCAUUUGCCAAGGAUGUUUUCAUUAA
RNAcentral lists this ribosomal RNA (377 nucleotides) under uncultured eukaryote. RNAcentral's name for it is "partial 18S ribosomal RNA". It matches the Rfam family "Eukaryotic small subunit ribosomal RNA", at positions 592 to 976 of the family's 1831-position model. The record is from RNAcentral.